GACGAACGCUGGCGGCGUGCUUAACACAUGCAAGUCGAACGGAGCUAUUUAUUUCGGUAGAUAGCUUAGUGGCAAACGGGUGAGUAACGCGUAGGCAACCUGCCCUCAGGAUGGGGACAACGGCUCGAAAGAGCCGCUAAUACCGAAUGACGUAACUCUUCCACAUGGAAGAGAUACUAAAGAUGGGUCAAACCAUCGCCUAAGGAUGGGCCUGCGUCUGAUUAGCCAGUUGGUGAGGUAACGGCUCACCAAAGCGACGAUCAGUAGCCGGUCUGAGAGGAUGAACGGCCACAAUGGGACUGAGACACGGCCCACACUCCUACGGGAGGCAGCAGUGGGGAAUCUUCCGCAAUGGGCGAAAGCCUGACGGAGCAACGCCGCGUGAGUGAAGAAGGUCUUCGGAUCGUAAAGCUCUGUUGUCGGGGACGAAAGAGUAGACGAGG
Molecule: ribosomal RNA, 443 nt
Filed under: Veillonellaceae bacterium oral taxon 155
Lineage: Bacteria; Bacillati; Bacillota; Negativicutes; Veillonellales; Veillonellaceae
Description: bacterial SSU rRNA
Rfam family: Bacterial small subunit ribosomal RNA
Source: RNAcentral